Molecule: ribosomal RNA, 698 nt
Filed under: uncultured bacterium
Lineage: Bacteria
Description: bacterial SSU rRNA
Rfam family: Bacterial small subunit ribosomal RNA
Source: RNAcentral
UCAACGCUGGCGGCGUGCCUAACACAUGCAAGUCGAACGCGGAAGGGGCUUCGGCCCUGAGUAGAGUGGCGAACGGGUGAGUAACACGUGGGUGACCUACCUUCGAGUGGGGGAUAACGUUCCGAAAGGAGCGCUAAUACCGCAUGACGUUCCGGAUUUGAACAUCUGGAAACCAAAGCCGGGGGCCGCAAGGCCUGGCGCUAGGAGAGGGGCCCGCGCCUGAUUAGCUAGUUGGCGGGGUAAUGGCCCACCAAGGCGACGAUCAGUAGCCGGCCUGAGAGGGCGGACGGCCACACUGGGACUGAGACACGGCCCAGACUCCUACGGGAGGCAGCAGUGGGGAAUUGUUCGCAAUGGGCGCAAGCCUGACGACGCAACGCCGCGUGGGGGAUGAAGGUCUUCGGAUUGUAAACCCCUGUCGAGCGGGACGAAUGGCCCGCGAUUGAAUAGAUCGCGGGAAUGACGGUACCGCUAAAGGAAGCCACGGCUAACUCUGUGCCAGCAGCCGCGGUAAUACAGAGGUGGCAAGCGUUGUUCGGAAUUACUGGGCGUAAAGGGCGCGUAGGCGGCCUUCUAAGUCAGACGUGAAAUCCCCCCGGCUCAACCUGGGAACUGCGUCUGAUACUGGAGGGCUUGAAUGCGGGAGAGGGAUGCAGAAUUCCAGGUGUAGCGGUGAAAUGCGUAGAUAUCUGGAGGAA